GACGAACCACACAAACGUUAUUCGGAAUUACUGGGCUUAAAGGGUGCGUAGGCGGCGCUAAAAGUUGGGUGUGAAAUCCCUCGGCUUAACCGAGGAACUGCGCCCAAUACUGUAGUGCUUGAGGGAGAUAGAGGUGAGCGGAACUUAGGGUGGAGCGGUGAAAUGCGUUGAUAUCCUAAGGAACACCCGUGGCGAAAGCGGCUCACUGGAUCUUCUCUGACGCUGAGGCACGAAAGCUAGGGUAGCGAACGGG
This 253-nucleotide ribosomal RNA is filed under the name uncultured bacterium. RNAcentral's name for it is "partial 16S ribosomal RNA". It matches the Rfam family "Bacterial small subunit ribosomal RNA", at positions 524 to 776 of the family's 1533-position model. The record is from RNAcentral.